Molecule: unclassified non-coding RNA, 306 nt
Filed under: Hevea brasiliensis (rubber tree)
Lineage: Eukaryota; Viridiplantae; Streptophyta; Magnoliopsida; Malpighiales; Euphorbiaceae
Source: RNAcentral
AAAAAAGGGACUUUUUCUCUGAUAAUUUAAAUGAUGCUGAAAGGGAUGUAGUAAUGGACUUCUAGUUGAGCAAGGAGACAGAGAGAGUACUGGUGGCAUACUGCAUAUUUGGUUGUAUUAGCUGUAAAAUGUUCAAACAGUCAUUCAGCAUACUUGAGUUGAGUGUUACACGUUGUUUGUGGAAAGUGAUGACAUGGAAUGAGGUCCUUGAUGUGUUGACAGUUAAUAAUUCACAAUACUGUUUGCAAGGGUGGCCAUUCUUUAGAUGAUAGCUCUAGUAAUUUAGUGGUCCUGUUGAGCUUGCAA